Cydia pomonella (codling moth) is the source of this 1075-nucleotide long non-coding RNA. RefSeq lists it as uncharacterized. Lineage: Eukaryota; Metazoa; Arthropoda; Insecta; Lepidoptera; Tortricidae. The transcript has 2 exons. The record is from RefSeq and is a predicted model, not a curated record.
AUGUGCAAUGUGAACUAUUCUAGUCUAAUUUACAUGCUAAGUGGAUUGUUUUUAAAGUGUUAACAAAUAAAGAUUUCUAUAUAAGUCUAUAAGUUUACAUACAAGUUGUACUAUAUCUUAGUGUGGGAAACGCAACGAAAUAAAACAAUACUUCACUAUGCCGGUAAAAGAUCAACAAACCCAAAAGAGUUGAAUUUAAUUACCCCAACCUGCCACUAACCAUUUCUAUACCUUAUGCCUUCUUAAUAAGGUCUAAACAUAGUCAGCCAACAAUGUCACAGUCGCCAUCAGAUAUAUCCGACCGGCCGAGGUACUCAAAAUAUCUCAACACGCACUCUAACGCCUUGACAAUAGAGGCGUGUUCAGAUAUUUGUGAACACCCCGGUCGCUCCGAUAUAUCUGAUGGCGAUUGCAAUGCGAAAUUAACACUAAACAUUGUUGAACCUUAAGGCCUUCCAAUAAGGUAUACUGUCAGUUAAUAUAACAGUAUUAAAAGUAAGAGUAUGGCGUGAGACACGCGACGCUAUCGGUAAUGUACAGGGUUUUCACACGGAAAACAUUUGUUUGCUACGACAAAGUUCCAUCUCGGGAUUCACGCGGGUGAGAUAGGACCUUGUCAGUUUGAGUUGAAUGUUCAGUGCUACUGUUUUGUAGAGAUAUGAGUGAUAUGAUUGUUUUAUUCGAUAUACGUCAAAUUGGUGGACAGUGGACGUCCUCUUUUCCAUCAAACGUACAGUCACGUCUGAAAACAUCGAUACGAUCGAAGUGCCAAAAAUAUGUAUACACGACUUUAUGGCCCAUAUAUUAGGUAAGUAAGUAAGUAAGUAAGUAAGUAAGUAAGUAAGUAAGUAAGUAAAUAUUCUUUAUUGCACCAACAAUUAUACAUUUUACAUACAUGUAAAACUACAAAUGAAUUUUAAAGGAAAAUAGAACCAGGUAACAACAGGCGGUCUUAUCGCUAAAAAGCGAUCUCUUCCAGACAACCUUUAGGUAGCAGGAAAUUUCGAACUCAUACAAAAGUCAACAGGUAGUGCAAGGAGCUAAAUAUGGUGACUAUUAAAUACAAACACACAUA